This 233-nucleotide long non-coding RNA is filed under the name Sorghum bicolor (sorghum). RNAcentral describes it as "long non-coding RNA (SBIC_LNC017994)". The record is from RNAcentral. Lineage: Eukaryota; Viridiplantae; Streptophyta; Magnoliopsida; Poales; Poaceae.
GAAUAACAUAGUACCACCUCGCCUAUCGACCCAAAAACGCAUAGAAGGGGAGGACUAUAUAAGGAGACCGCCUCUGGCCCUGGAGGAGACAAGAAAUUAUCAUAGAGAUUGAGGGGUGCCCUCGAAGGAAAACCUCUUCUCUAAAUAAUAUUUCUUUUUAGGCUUAGCAACCAAUGUAAAGUAGAAAUAGAUCUUCUAGUUUCUACUAGAUUGAGAGAGAUAGAGUGGAGGUG